UGGGGAAUAUUGGACAAUGGGCGAAAGCCUGAUCCAGCCAUGCCGCGUGUGUGAAGAAGGUCUUCGGAUUGUAAAGCACUUUAAGCUGGGAGGAAGGGCAGUAAGCGAAUACCUUGCUGUUUUGACGUUACCGACAGAAUAAGCACCGGCUAACUCUGUGCCAGCAGCCGCGGUAAUACAGAGGGUGCAAGCGUUAAUCGGAAUUACUGGGCGUAAAGCGCGCGUAGGUGGUUCGUUAAGUUGAAUGUGAAAGCCCCGGGCUCAACCUGGGAACUGCAUCCAAAACUGGCGAGCUAGAGUAUGGCAGAGGGGGGUGGAAUUUCCUGUGUAGCGGUGGAAUGCGUAGAUAUAGGAAGGAACACCAGUGGCGAAGGCGACCACCUGGGCUCAUACUGACGCUGAGGUGCGAAAGCGUGGGGAGCAAACAGG
RNAcentral lists this ribosomal RNA (429 nucleotides) under Pseudomonadota bacterium. RNAcentral's name for it is "Proteobacteria bacterium partial 16S ribosomal RNA". It matches the Rfam family "Bacterial small subunit ribosomal RNA", at positions 355 to 776 of the family's 1533-position model. Lineage: Bacteria; Pseudomonadati; Pseudomonadota. The record is from RNAcentral.